GUCUUUUUGAAUUUAAUAAAAAGUCUAGCCUGCCCAGUGAAUUUUAUAUUUUAACGGCUGCGGUAUUUUGACCGUACAAAGGUAGCAUAAUCAUUAGUUUUUUAAUUGAAAACUCGUAUGAAAGGUUGAACAAAAAAUUAGCUGUUUCAUAAAAAUUUUAUUAAAACUUUACUUUUUAGUUAAAAGGCUAAAAUAAUUUUAAAAGACGAGAAGACCCUAUAGAGUUUAAUUUAAUUUUUAAUUUUAUUAAUUAAGUAUAUUUAAAUUAAAGUUAAUAAUUAAAUUUUGUUGGGGUGACAAUAAAAUUUAAUUUACUUUUAUUUUUUAUUAACAUAAAUUUAUGAAUUAUUUGAUCCAAUUUUAUUGAUUAAAAAAUUAAAUUACCUUAGGGAUAACAGCGUAAUUUUUUUUUAGAGAUCUUAUCAAUAAAAAUUUUUGCGACCUCGAUGUUGGAUUAAAAUUAAUUUUAGGUGCAAAAGCUUAAAUAAUUAGGUCUGUUCGACCUUUAAAUUUUU
Molecule: ribosomal RNA, 515 nt
Filed under: Diadocidia ferruginosa
Lineage: Eukaryota; Metazoa; Arthropoda; Insecta; Diptera; Diadocidiidae
Description: partial 16S ribosomal RNA
Rfam family: Bacterial large subunit ribosomal RNA (bases 391-515)
Source: RNAcentral